ACACUCCCACACCAUGGAGCCAAUCGAGCCCUGGGUUAGUGGGAGGCGAUGCCUGAAGAAGCGGUAGAGGAGGGCGGCUGUGAGCAAAGAUCUUUGGCUGUGAGGAGGUAAAGUUCGGGCAAAAUGUUUCUUACUGCAUUUUUGCUUCGAAAAGGAAUUCCGGGCAAACAAUGGAUAGGGAAAUACAGACGUCCAAGAAAUAUUACGUGGCAAAUGAAACGUGGUUUCAUUCGGAGGCUGGAGAUUGAAAAGGAGACCGAAUACUGGCUCAGCCGCCCCUGGAUGACCAUUGAACAAGAAAGAGGGAAUGCAGCAUCACGCAGAGCUGAACAGUGGGAAGCCUUCAAAGCUGCUAAAGCUGCAACUUUCCCUGCACCAAAAUACAUUGAAGACCAUCUAAACCACCUAAAUGUAACCAAAAAAUGGGGAAAUUGAAAUGUUUGAAGAAAUCUUUUUUCGAUUGUGACUGCAGAAUUUUUUUUUUAAAUAAGGAAAAGCUUCCUGAUAAACUAACAUACAGAGCCAUUGGUUAUGUAUAAUUUCUGAAAGUGUUUGAAAUUGCUAUCAUGCAUAGAGUAAUAGGAUAAUUUAAUGAAUGAUAUCAAGGAAGUUUGUACUUAUGUUCUACUGGUCCUGAUGAAAUUGUAUAUCUAUUAGGAAACAUAAAUUAAAUAUUUGUGAACUUUA
RNA transcript from Amblyraja radiata (thorny skate), 687 nucleotides. It is a transcript of the gene named ribosomal protein 63, mitochondrial-like, with no coding region annotated. NCBI's taxonomy places the organism in Eukaryota, Metazoa, Chordata, Chondrichthyes, Rajiformes, Rajidae. The transcript has 2 exons. The record is from RefSeq and is a predicted model, not a curated record.